This 548-nucleotide ribosomal RNA is filed under the name uncultured bacterium. RNAcentral describes it as "bacterial SSU rRNA". It matches the Rfam family "Bacterial small subunit ribosomal RNA", at positions 356 to 896 of the family's 1533-position model. The record is from RNAcentral.
GGGGAAUUUUGGACAAUGGGCGCAAGCCUGAUCCAGCCAUGCCGCGUGUCUGAAGAAGGCCUUCGGGUUGUAAAGGACUUUUGUCAGGGAAGAAAAGGCUGUUGCUAAUAUCAGCGGCUGAUGACGGUACCUGAAGAAUAAGCACCGGCUAACUACGUGCCAGCAGCCGCGGUAAUACGUAGGGUGCGAGCGUUAAUCGGAAUUACUGGGCGUAAAGCGAGCGCAGACGGUUACUUAAGCAGGAUGUGAAAUCCCCGGGCUCAACCUGGGAACUGCGUUCUGAACUGGGUGACUAGAGUGUGUCAGAGGGAGGUAGAAUUCCACGUGCAGCAGUGAAAUGCGUAGAGAUGUGGAGGAAUACCGAUGGCGAAGGCAGCCUCCUGGGAUAACACUGACGUUCAUGCUCGAAAGCGUGGGUAGCAAACAGGAUUAGAUACCCUGGUAGUCCACGCCCUAAACGAUGUCAAUUAGCUGUUGGGCAACUUGAUUGUUCAGUAGCGUAGCUAACGCGUGAAAUUGACCGCCUGGGGAGUACGGUCGCAAGAUUA